This is a non-coding RNA of Triticum urartu, 2452 nucleotides long. The record is from RefSeq and is a predicted model, not a curated record. NCBI's taxonomy places the organism in Eukaryota, Viridiplantae, Streptophyta, Magnoliopsida, Poales, Poaceae.
CUCACCACCGUUCCAAACCCCACGCACGCACUCACCACCGUUCCAAUCCCGCACCCGCACCCGCUCGCCGAAACCCUAGCCGCCGCCGCCCCCUCCCCCUCCCCCCCCCCAAGAUCGCACCAACCACCCCGAUGGCCGCCGCCGCACCGCCGCACGCCGCGGCGCUCCUGGACGCCCUCCCCCUUCUCCAUCGCCGCCUCCCCCUUCUCCCCUAGAUCCAAUCGCCCUCGUCCCCCUCGUCCACCGGCCCCUUCCUCUCGUCACCACACCUUGCCGCCGGCCUUACUCCCCCCUCUUCUCCGCCCCACCCCACUCCCUCCACCUACCGCAUCCACAGAGCCAUAACCCCUCGCCCCCGCGUGCCCUCGUCGGCUCUGCCUCUCGCACCUCACCUUCGCCGCAUACCUGCCGCAACCCACCCCCGGCCCGCGGCUCCUCGUCGUCCUCAUCUCCCCCGACUCCCUCGCUCUCCCCCCUCCCCCUGCAGCAGUCCCGCACGCCCAUCCGCAUCUACCUCCACCCGUUGAGCAGCAGCAGGUCAGGCGGCGGCCAGAUCCGCCGCGUUGCUUCCGGAUCCGCGCCCUCGUCACGCGCGCUCGACACCAUGGAACUCGUCAACAAGGUCGUCGUCAAGCCCUCGAUCUGGCUGCGACCUCCAGCGCGCUCGCGCCGCUGAUGGGCAUAGGCUGGUCCAUGCACACUGGUGAUGGUGGCUCACCAAGGUUGCCGUCGUCGCCUGGACGCACGAGGCACCCGAUGACCUCCUCCAUCGCCAACCACCAGCACCCAUCUGGAGGAUUUGCAUUCUAUCCCCUCCCCCACAUGAACGACCUCCUGCCCGCAACCAUGACACGCACGGGAGAGCUCAGCUCACCUUCAUGGGCGCCCUCUUGCUGGACACCGAUAAGGCACAUCAGUAGAGCUCAGCUCACCUUCAUCAGCUCGCCUUCAUGGGUCGGGUUGUCGCAGGUUCCAUGGAGCCCCCCUCCCCUCGUCAAGCUCGGCGCCAAGAGCGAGGAGGUGCUCUUCGCCUCGCCUCGCCUCGCACAAGCGACGUCAUCUGCUCUUUCACUAGUGUCGACCCUUGCUUUAAUUGCUAAUAAUACACGCAUGCUCCACAACUAAUACAGAAGAUGCAUUUCCAUCCCAUCUAGUAGGUGCUGACUUGAUGCAAACAAAUAAAAUAAAAUUAGUAUGUGUUGACUGCUCACAUCCCAUAUAUGCUGAACGAUGCUAACUGCUGUACCAAUGUGAUGUUGCUUGCUUGAUGAGUGGUUGUCAUUAACUAGAAAGAAGAAGAAGAAAACCUUGUCAAUUUAUUUGAGUAGAAUCAUGUAUCCCAUACUUGUAUUUGCAUGUUUGCUUGCUUGCUUGCUUGUAGCACUAUCAAGUGUGAGGAAAUUCAGUACUAGGAUGUGUGGAGAUGGGACGCUGUUGGAUCAUUAGCACUUGUAGCACUAUCAAGUUUGUACUGAUUGCAGAUAGAAAACCUUGUAAUUUUUUUCUGUAAGCUAAACUUUGUGAUUUAAUUUUUGGAAGCUAAACAUUGUAAGUCUAUUAAGAAACUUGAGCAAAAUUAGUCCACAAGUUAGUUGAAGUCACAAGUGCCUUUUAUUAACAGAGUCUUCUGCCAGGGCGAAUGUUAUAUUCAAAACCACUUCUGAUCACUUUGUGUUUUCUUUUUUAAUAUUUUGUUGUGUCUUGCUUGUUGGGAAUUGAUCUAGUUAAGUGGCUGACUGGGAAUAUUAUGCUGUCAAGUUCGUGUCUUGGUGCAUCUGAGAAUGUUGUUUCUUUCUUUCUUUCUUCCUUUUGUUGCAAACCUGAAAAGAAAGUGCAAUGUGAACCUGGAAGGUGCAUGUACUGCUGCUACUUUUGUGUGCCAACUGCUAUACUAGUUGGUUUGUGAUGAUCCAAACAAGUCGACAACAGUAGUACUGUUGGCAGUUGGUGUUUAAUUUCAUUGCUACCAUGGUAUUUAUUCUUUCGACAUGUCAUGUAUAUGCUUGGUUCCCUGAUGGGUGCACUUUCUAACACGCGCAGGUGCAAGACAGAGACACGCCACCAUGCAAUGAUUCUUCUUCCACUCGCAGGCCUCCCACUCCAAUAACUCUUUUUCUGCUCUAACAUAGCAUAGCUGGGUGACAGAGGAAGCCAUGUUGCAGUUUUGUUUGUCGCCAGCCCUGACUUCGGUCGUCCAGCGAGUCUGGCAUGUUGUUCAUCUGACUCCGGUCGUCCAGCGAGUCUGUCAUGUUGUUCAUCCAACUACAGUCGUCCAACGCGUCUGGCAUGUUGUCACUUUCUUGUAAAGCAGUACUGUAUUACACUUGUAGAGCUCGUUAGUACACUUGUAGAGCUUGAAAGUACUGCAUUACACAUGGUCAUGUAUUGGCACGUAUAGAGCUUGUUAUUGUGAUUGCCAUUGUAUUAUGUGAUCUGGUUGCUCUUAUUUGAA